This 253-nucleotide ribosomal RNA is filed under the name uncultured bacterium. Its description in RNAcentral is "partial 16S ribosomal RNA". It matches the Rfam family "Bacterial small subunit ribosomal RNA", at positions 524 to 776 of the family's 1533-position model. The record is from RNAcentral.
UACGUAGGGUCCGAGCGUUGUCCGGAAUUAUUGGGCGUAAAGGGCUCGUAGGCGGUCUGUUGCGUCGGGAGUGAAAACUUACAGCUUAACUGUGAGCGUGCUUUCGAUACGGGCAGACUUGAGGCAUUCAGGGGAGAACGGAAUUCCUGGUGUAGCGGUGAAAUGCGCAGAUAUCAGGAGGAACACCGGUGGCGAAGGCGGUUCUCUGGGCCUUACCUGACGCUGAGGAGCGAAAGCGUGGGGAGCGAACAGG